GGUUUAUGCUAGGAAUUUGUCCCCCCUCACCGCUGUUCAGGAGGAAUAGAAUUGCUCCAAUAGAAAACUAGAAUGUAUAACUCAUUAUUAAGAUCAUCACACUCAAAAAAUGCUGCCUACAUGCAAAAGGCAGCCCAUUUCAGCUCCAUCCAUGUAACAUGAAACAAUCAGCAAAAGGGCACUCAUCCAUGUUAUUUCAGUAUAUAUUCACAAACAUGGUCCCAAUCACUCAAAGGUCCUACUAGAACAUCUUUUGACAACUUAACAGAAGGUUAUAAAAGCUGCUAUUUCUUGCAUUGAUGAUUACUAUAAACUCACAUAUUGCAAAGCAAAUUACUAAUAAUUCCUCAUCACAUGUAGAUUGCUCAGUAUUAAUCAUAUGUCACACUGCAUCAUGUUACAUUUAUGAUUGAUCUGGAUAACAAAAUGACAU
RNAcentral lists this unclassified non-coding RNA (433 nucleotides) under Hevea brasiliensis (rubber tree). Lineage: Eukaryota; Viridiplantae; Streptophyta; Magnoliopsida; Malpighiales; Euphorbiaceae. The record is from RNAcentral.